Xanthomonas campestris pv. campestris is the source of this 75-nucleotide small RNA. It matches the Rfam family "Xanthomonas sRNA sX9". Lineage: Bacteria; Pseudomonadati; Pseudomonadota; Gammaproteobacteria; Lysobacterales; Lysobacteraceae. The record is from Rfam.
AUGUACCCACGUACACUCCGGUUCCUCCGCGCCGUCCGCACCCACCUGACGGCUGCUCGCUAAGUUUUGUUAGCC